RNAcentral lists this ribosomal RNA (253 nucleotides) under uncultured bacterium. Its description in RNAcentral is "partial 16S ribosomal RNA". It matches the Rfam family "Bacterial small subunit ribosomal RNA", at positions 524 to 776 of the family's 1533-position model. The record is from RNAcentral.
UACGUAGGUGGCAAGCGUUGUCCGGAUUUACUGGGUGUAAAGGGCGUGUAGCCGGGCUGACAAGUCAGAUGUGAAAUUCCGGGGCUCAACCCCGGACCUGCAUUUGAAACUGGCGGGCUGGAGUGCCGGAGAGGUAAGCGGAAUUCCUAGUGUAGCGGUGAAAUGCGUAGAUAUUAGGAGGAACACCAGUGGCGAAGGCGGCUUACUGGACGGCAACUGACGCUGAGGCUCGAAAGCGUGGGGAGCAAACAGG